CGGGGCGUAGCGCAGCCUGGGUAGCGCGCUUGCUUGGGGUGCAAGAGGUCGCGAGUUCAAAUCUCGCCGCCCCGACCA
Molecule: transfer RNA, 78 nt
Filed under: bacterium
Lineage: Bacteria
Also listed under: 2 other names
Description: tRNA-Pro
Rfam family: tRNA
About the family: Transfer RNA (tRNA) molecules are approximately 80 nucleotides in length.
Source: RNAcentral